UUUUAAUUCCCCACUGCAAAAAUAUCUUGCUCAGUUAUCAAAAAACAAUUUCUAAUCAAGUACAAUAUUGUUGUUUAUUUAUUUGUAUAGGUGAAAGCUCUUACUGCUCUUGGUGGGCAGAAUUUGGCAGACACGGUGAGGACAAUGCUGAGGAAAAUUGCCACAAACAAAGUCCUGGAGCAGCUUGGCCUCCAUGGAAAGUCAGGAAAAGUGGCGUUUGAGGACUUGCCCCUUUACAGAAUAAUAAAUAAGGCAUGCAGGGGUGUUUACAAGCAGACGACCACAGCUGAAGUGGAUUGUGAGCUUGGAGAGGUCCUGAAACUGGCCACUUUUCGAAAGGGAGGUUCAAAAUUUGAGGAGAAGAGGAGGAAUUAAGAGGGAGGACAAAAAAGGAAAAAGAAACAAGCAAAAGAACAGAGUGAGAUGAGAGGAUUUGGGUUUCCCUGCUUGGGCUGCUGCCCCCGCGACCUCGGAUAAGCGGAAGACGAUGGAUGGAUGGAUUUACUUCCAGGAAGAGAACCAAGAAGGGGCAGGAUACACUGACGCGCACGACCAAGACCAC
This is a long non-coding RNA of Entelurus aequoreus (snake pipefish), 562 nucleotides long. RefSeq lists it as uncharacterized. The transcript is spliced from 4 exons. Lineage: Eukaryota; Metazoa; Chordata; Actinopteri; Syngnathiformes; Syngnathidae. The record is from RefSeq and is a predicted model, not a curated record.